GGCGGGACACGUGGUAUCCUGUCUGAAUAUGGGGGGACCAUCCUCCAAGGCUAAAUACUCCUGACUGACCGAUAGUGAACCAGUACCGUGAGGGAAAGGCGAAAAGAACCCCGGCGAGGGGAGUGAAAAAGAACCUGAAACCGUGUACGUACAAGCAGUGGGAGCACCCUUUGGGGUGUGACUGCGUACCUUUUGUAUAAUGGGUCAGCGACUUAUAUUCUGUAGCAAGGUUAACCGUAUAGGGGAGCCGGAGGGAAACCGAGUCUUAACCGGGCGUUAAGUUGCAGGGUAUAGACCCGAAACCCGGUGAUCUAGCCAUGGGCAGGUUGAAGGUUGGGUAACACUAACUGGAGGACCGAACCGACUAAUGUUGAAAAAUUAGCGGAUGACCUGUGGCUGGGGGUGAAAGGCCAAUCAAACCGGGAGAUAGCUGGUUCUCCCCGAAAGCUAUUUAGGUAGCGCCUCGUGAAUUCAUCUCCGGGGGUAGAGCACUGUUUCGGCUAGGGGGCCAUCCCGGCUUACCAACCCGAUGCAAACUGCGAAUACCGGAGAAUGUUAUCACGGGAGACACACGGCGGGUGCUAACGUCCGUCGUGAAGAGGGAAACAACCCAGACCGCCAGCUAAGGUCCCAAAGUCAUGGUUAAGUGGGAAACGAUGUGGGAAGGCCCAGACAGCCAGGAUGUUGGCUUAGAAGCAGCCAUCAUUUAAAGAAAGCGUAAUAGCUCACUGGUCGAGUCGGCCUGCGCGGAAGAUGUAACGGGGCUAAACCAUGCACCGAAGCUGCGGCAGCGACGCUGAUGCGUUGUUGGGUAGGGGAGCGUUCUGUAAGCCUGCGAAGGUGGCCUGUGAGGGUUGCUGGAGGUAUCAGAAGUGCGAAUGCUGACAUAAGUAACGAUAAAGCGGGUGAAAAGCCCGCUCGCCGGAAGACCAAGGGUUCCUGUCCAACGUUAAUCGGGGCAGGGUGAGUCGACCCCUAAGGCGAGGCCGAAAGGCGUAGUCGAUGGGAAACGGGUUAAUAUUCCCGUACUUGGUGUUACUGCGAAGGGGGGACGGAGAAGGCUAUGUUGGCCGGGCGACGGUUGUCCCGGUUUAAGCGUGUAGGUGUGUGUUCCAGGUAAAUCCGGUUCACUUUAACACUGAGGCGUGAUGACGAGGCACUACGGUGCUGAAGCAACAAAUGCCCUGCUUCCAGGAAAAGCCUCUAAGCAUCAGGUAACAUCAAAUCGUACCCCAAACCGACACAGGUGGUCAGGUAGAGAAUACCAAGGCGCUUGAGAGAACUCGGGUGAAGGAACUAGGCAAAAUGGUGCCGUAACUUCGGGAGAAGGCACGCUGACACGUAGGUGAAGUGAUUUACUCAUGGAGCUGAAGUCAGUCGAAGAUACCAGCUGGCUGCAACUGUUUAUUAAAAACACAGCACUGUGCAAACACGAAAGUGGACGUAUACGGUGUGACGCCUGCCCGGUGCCGGAAGGUUAAUUGAUGGGGUCAGCGCAAGCGAAGCUCCUGAUCGAAGCCCCGGUAAACGGCGGCCGUAACUAUAACGGUCCUAAGGUAGCGAAAUUCCUUGUCGGGUAAGUUCCGACCUGCACGAAUGGCGUAAUGAUGGCCAGGCUGUCUCCACCCGAGACUCAGUGAAAUUGAACUCGCUGUGAAGAUGCAGUGUACCCGCGGCAAGACGGAAAGACCCCGUGAACCUUUACUAUAGCUUGACACUGAACAUUGAGCCUUGAUGUGUAGGAUAGGUGGGAGGCUUUGAAGUGUGGACGCCAGUCUGCAUGGAGCCGACCUUGAAAUACCACCCUUUAAUGUUUGAUGUUCUAACGUGGACCCGUGAUCCGGGUUGCGGACAGUGUCUGGUGGGUAGUUUGACUGGGGCGGUCUCCUCCUAAAGAGUAACGGAGGAGCACGAAGGUUGGCUAAUCCUGGUCGGACAUCAGGAGGUUAGUGCAAUGGCAUAAGCCAGCUUGACUGCGAGCGUGACGGCGCGAGCAGGUGCGAAAGCAGGUCAUAGUGAUCCGGUGGUUCUGAAUGGAAGGGCCAUCGCUCAACGGAUAAAAGGUACUCCGGGGAUAACAGGCUGAUACCGCCCAAGAGUUCAUAUCGACGGCGGUGUUUGGCACCUCGAUGUCGGCUCAUCACAUCCUGGGGCUGAAGUAGGUCCCAAGGGUAUGGCUGUUCGCCAUUUAAAGUGGUACGCGAGCUGGGUUUAGAACGUCGUGAGACAGUUCGGUCCCUAUCUGCCGUGGGCGCUGGAGAACUGAGGGGGGCUGCUCCUAGUACGAGAGGACCGGAGUGGACGCAUCACUGGUGUUCGGGUUGUCAUGCCAAUGGCACUGCCCGGUAGCUAAAUGCGGAAGAGAUAAGUGCUGAAAGCAUCUAAGCACGAAACUUGCCCCGA
This 2403-nucleotide ribosomal RNA is filed under the name Salmonella enterica subsp. enterica. RNAcentral describes it as "partial 23S ribosomal RNA". It matches the Rfam family "Bacterial large subunit ribosomal RNA", at positions 416 to 2802 of the family's 2925-position model. Lineage: Bacteria; Pseudomonadati; Pseudomonadota; Gammaproteobacteria; Enterobacterales; Enterobacteriaceae. The record is from RNAcentral.